GACGAACGCUGGCGGCGCGCCUAACACAUGCAAGUCGAACGGGCGAGAGAGAGCUUGCUUUCUCGAGCGAGUGGCGAACGGGUGAGUAACGCGUGAGGAACCUGCCUCAAAGAGGGGGACAACAGUUGGAAACGACUGCUAAUACCGCAUAAGCCCACGACCCGGCAUCGGGUAGAGGGAAAAGGAGCAAUCCGCUUUGAGAUGGCCUCGCGUCCGAUUAGCUAGUUGGUGAGGUAACGGCCCACCAAGGCGACGAUCGGUAGCCGGACUGAGAGGUUGAACGGCCACAUUGGGACUGAGACACGGCCCAGACUCCUACGGGAGGCAGCAGUGGGGAAUAUUGCACAAUGGGGGAAACCCUGAUGCAGCGACGCCGCGUGGAGGAAGAAGGUCUUCGGAUUGUAAACUCCUGUUGUUGAGGAAGAUAAUGACGGUACUCAACAAGGAAGUGACGGCUAACUACGUG
Molecule: ribosomal RNA, 466 nt
Filed under: uncultured bacterium
Lineage: Bacteria
Description: partial 16S ribosomal RNA
Rfam family: Bacterial small subunit ribosomal RNA
Source: RNAcentral